RNAcentral lists this ribosomal RNA (406 nucleotides) under uncultured bacterium. Its description in RNAcentral is "partial 16S ribosomal RNA". It matches the Rfam family "Bacterial small subunit ribosomal RNA", at positions 29 to 526 of the family's 1533-position model. The record is from RNAcentral.
AUUGAACGCUGGCGGCAGGCCUAACACAUGCAAGUCGAACGAGUGGCGGACGGGUGAGUAAUGUCUGGGCAACUGCCUGAUGGAGGGGGAUAACUACUGGAAACGGUAGCUAAUACCCCAUACCAUCGGAUUUGCCCAGAUGGGAUUAGCUUGUUGGUGGGUUAACGGCUCACCAGGGCGACGAUCCCUCGCUGGUCUGAUAGGAUGACCGGCCACACUGGAACUAGGACACGGUCAAGACGCCAACGGGAGGAAGCAGUGGGGAUUAUUGCAAAAGGGGGGAAAGCCGGAGGCAGCCAGGCCGGGUGGAUGAAGAAGGCCUUCGGGUUGUAAAGUACUUUCAGCGGGGAGGCGUUACCCGAAGAAGAAGCACCGGCUAACUACGUGCCAGCAGCCGCGGUAAUUC